UUUCCGUAGGUGAACCUGCGGAAGGAUCAUUACCAAAUCCAAAUCUCAACCCCAUGUGAACUAUUGUAUAGUCUGUCUUUGGGAGAGAGACUCAUUAAAAUUAAUUUUUUCUUGUUUGUCUCUCCCAAUAGAGUCCGGCGCAACUUUAUUGAUGUGUCCAGAUUCGAAAACCCUUUAAACCACUUGAUUUUUUCUGUUGGAAUUUCUUUUAUUAAUUAUAAAUAAAAGACAACUUUUAACGGUGGAUCUCUUGGCUCGC
RNAcentral lists this unclassified non-coding RNA (259 nucleotides) under plant metagenome. Its description in RNAcentral is "partial contains small subunit ribosomal RNA, internal transcribed spacer 1, and 5.8S ribosomal RNA". The record is from RNAcentral.